GAGUGACAUGAUGCUUUACCGUCUUUCGGGACUGACCUUGGCUGGAGAUAUCUUUUUCUCACUGAUCACUC
Molecule: small nucleolar RNA, 71 nt
Organism: Conger conger (European conger)
Lineage: Eukaryota; Metazoa; Chordata; Actinopteri; Anguilliformes; Congridae
Product: small nucleolar RNA SNORD2
Exons: 1
Source: RefSeq, a predicted model, not a curated record